RNAcentral lists this long non-coding RNA (8844 nucleotides) under Homo sapiens (human). RNAcentral's name for it is "HSALNT0386969". The record is from RNAcentral. Lineage: Eukaryota; Metazoa; Chordata; Mammalia; Primates; Hominidae.
GGCCGCGCUGAGAGUCACGUGGUGCGCCAGGAAGCCGCCUAGCUUCUUGGAGAGCUCACUGCCUCGCUCCGCUCCUUUCCUGGCGGGAGGCUCUGAGCCACCCCCACCUGCGCAGGGCGGCCAGGGGUGAGUGUCCACUAGGAGCGUCGCGCCCACCCGGACUGUCCACGCUGGGGCGCAGGCCGUCAGAAUGUCUUGCCCGGACCAGGGGACAAAAUGGCGGCAGGGUUAAAACAAAGUCACAAGUCUGACCCACACUCAAAGGGAGAAGAUUAUGCAAGAGCAAAAGCACGAGAUGGAAACCAUGGGGCCAUCUUAUAGUCUGUCUGCCGGAGAAAGAUGAACACAAAUCCUGCCUAGCUUCAUCAAUGUCCAGCCUCCAGAGGGCCUUCCCAGGAGGGUAGGCAUUAAUGCAAGCAAGUGGUGGUCUGCAUAGCUGAGCAGAGUCUGCUGUGUUUCUGAUAAAUUGUGAAGAGCCAUAGACCUUUGCCUAAUGAAGGGCCUCAAGCUCCUGCUGGUAAGAAUUUGACCUUUUAUUCAAAUUAAAAUGGGGAACCUCUGCAAGGUUUGAAAAUUGGUAAUGAGAUUAUCGGAUUUGUGGGUUUAAUUUUAUUUUAAUUUUUUAAUUUUUUUUUUUUUUUUGAGACAAGGUCUCACUCUGUUGCCCAGACUGGAGUGCAGUGGCAUGAUCAUUUCUCACUGCAGCCUCGACCUCUUGAGCCUAAGCAAUCCUCCCACCUCAGCCUCUGGAGUAGCUGGGACGAUAGGCACAUGCCACGAUGCCUGGCUAAGUUUUUAAAUUUUUUUUGUAUUGACAAGGUCUCACUGUGUUGCCCAGGCUGGUCUUGAACUCCUGAGCUCAAGCAGUCUUCCUACCUCGGCCUCCCAAAGUUCUGGGAUUACAGGCAUACCACCACAUGACCAGCAGGGGCUUGUGUUUUAAAAUAUAACUCCAGCUGCUCUUCAGAGAAUAGGAUGAAACACUGUCAAAAGCAGAAGAAAAGAGACCAGUAGAGAGGUUCUUGCCUAUGAGAGAUGAUGGUAGAUUGGUAGAGUGCUGCUCGUAAUAUGGAAACUGCGUUGGGAAAUUUUCAGUGUCUUUUAACAUUUUUGACUGAUGAAAGGUCCAUUAAAUAAUCCUAGAGAAUUGUGUUCAAAUGUGGUUACAAUUUCAUGAUUCAAAACUUGACAAGUACAAGCUAUCAGUUUUAAUUGCAGGGUUUAUUUUUGGUCCUUCAUUUGUUUCAAAUGAUUGUUUCAGCUAGAAUCAAAUGUGUAUUAUGCCACUGAUAGAGAACUAGAAGAGUGUCCCUUUAAAAAAAAUUUCACCAACAGUAUAACUUUUAGUCACAAUUGAGCAGGAAUUGGGGUAUCUAAGAAUACCAGGAUGGGAAAAGUAUCAAUUUUUCUUAGAGACAAAACUGGUUCAGAGGGACCAUUGGUGUUCUUAAAUUUUUUAAAUUGUGGUUAAAUACAUACAACGUAAAACUUGCCAUUUUCGCUAUUUUUAAGUAUGCAAUUUAGUGGCAUUAGUUAUAUUCACAGUGUUGGACAGCCAUUGCCAUUAUCUAUUUCCCAAAUUUUUCGUCAGCGCAAAAGAAACUCUGUUUCCAUUAAGCAACAUUCUCCAUUCCUUCCUUCCCUAACCCCAGAUAAUCUCUAAUCUACUUUUUGUUUUUAUGAAUUUGUAUAUUCUGGAUCUUGAACAAGAGUGGAAUCAUACAAUAUAUGACCUUUGGUGUUUGGCUUAUUUCGGUUAAAUAAUGUUUUCAAGGUCGUAGCAUACAACAGAACUUCAUUUCCUUUUAUGGCUGAAUAAUAUGCCAUUGUAUGCAUAUGCUCCAUCUUGUUUAUCCAUUCAUCUGUUGGUGGCUACUUGGGUUGAUUCCACCUUUUGGCUAUCAUGAAUAAUGCUGCAGUAAACAUUCAUGUACAAGUAUCUGAAUCCCUGUUUACAGUUAUUUAGGGCAUAUACCUAGAAGUAGAAUAUCUGGGUUAUAUGGUAACUCUAUGUUUAACUUUUUGAGGGACUGUACCAGUGGCUCCACUAUUUUACAUUCCUACCAGGAAUGUAAAAGUAUCCUACUUUCUCCACAUUUUUGGCAACAAUUAUUUUCAGUUAUUAUUAUUAUUACAGCCAAUUUAGUGAGUGUAAAGUGAAAUCUCGUUGUGGCUUUGAUUUGCAUUUCCAUAAUGAGUAAUGAUUUUUGAGCAUAUUCAUAUGCUUAUAGGCCAUUUUUAUAUUUUCUUUAGAAAUAUCUAUUCAAGUCCUUUGUCUGUGUUUAAAUUUGUGUGUUUGUCUUUUUGUUGUAGAGUUUUACGAGUUCUUUAUAUAUUAUCAAUAUUAAACUUUUGUCAGAUAUAUGGCUUGUAAAUAAUUUAUCCCAUGUGUAAGCUUUCUUUUCACUUUCUUGAUAAUUGUUUUUUAUAUGAAAGCUUUUAACACUGAUGAAUUCUAAUUUGUCUAUUUUAUUUAUUUUGUUGCUCAUACUUUCAGUGUAAUGUGUGAGAAUCUGUCACCAAAUCCAAGAUCAUACAAAAUUUACCCCUGUGUUUUCUACGAAGAGUUUUGUGGUUUUAGCUCUUAUAUUUAGAUUGUUAGUCUAUUUUGAUUUAAGUUUUGUAAAUGGUGUGAGGUUGAGAUAAAAGUUUAUAUUUUGCAUUUGGAAAUCCAAGAGUUACAGGAUUAUCUAUUGAGAAGUUAUUAUUUCUUCAUUGAGUGGAAUUGGCUCCCUUAUUGACAAUUAAUUUACUAUAAAUAUAUGGGUUUCAUUGCUGGAGUCUAAAUUCUGUUCAGUCACUCUAUUUGUCUGUCCUUAUGACAGUACCACACUGUAGCUCUGUAAAAAGUUUUAAAAUUGUAAAGUGUGAGUUCUCCAUCUUUGUUCUUCCAUGUUAAGAUUAUUUGGCUAUGCAGGACCCCUUCAAAUUCCACAUGAGUGUGACAAUCAGAUUUUACAUUCUUGAAAAAAAUGGUGUCAGAAUUUUGAUAGAGAUCGUUUUAAAUCUGUAGAUUUCUUUGGGUAGAAUUGACAUCUUAACAAUAUUACAUCCUCCAGGCCCAUGAACAUAAGACGCCUUUCCAUACAUUUCAUCUUUGGCUUCUUUCAAAUUUUUUUUUAAUUUGCAGUUUACAAGUUUUUCACAUCCUUGAUUAAACAUAUUUCCAAGUAUUUUAUUGUUUCGGAUGGUAUGAAAUGGGUUUAAUUUCUUUUUCAAAUUUUUCAUUGCAUUUUGUAUAGAAACACAAAUUAUUUCUGUGCAUUGACUUUAUACCCUGCAAGUUUGCUGAAAUCAUUUAUUAGCUCUAGUCGCUCUCUUGUGGAAUUUUAAAAAUUUUUUGUAUGCACGGGAUCAGGCUAUCUCUGAAUGUAGAUAGCUUUUCUUCUUUACUUCCAAUUUGAAUGACUUUUAUUUCUUCUUUUUAUCUAAUCGCUAUAGAUAGAACUUCCAGUACAAUGCUGAAUAGAAGUGGUAAAAAUGGGCAUCCUGUCUUGUUUAUACUUUAAAGGAAAACUUUCAGGUUUUCGGCAUUGUAUAUAUUAGCUAUGAGGUUGAUAAAUUCUUUUUAUCGUGGUAAGGAAGUGUUUCUAGUUUUCUUAGCGUUUUUAUCAUAACAGAGUGUUGGUUUUUGUCUAACGCCUUUUCUUCAUUAAUAGAGUUGUCACGUGUUUUGGUGUUCUGCUUUUUGGCACAUAUGUGACUAUAAUUGUUACAUUUUUCUCAAUACAUUUAUCAUUUUAUCAGUGAUAUGAUAAAAUGUUCUGCUUUGUCUUUGGAACAGUAUCAAUUUAAAGUCAUUUUUUCCUUGAUAUUAGUGUAGCCUCCCCAGAUCUCUUUUUGGUUGAUUGUCUUAAAUGUUUUUUUUCAUCCUUUCAUUUUCAAUCUGUCUGCACGUUUUAGAUCUUGGGUGAGUCUCUAAUAGAGAACAUAUAGUUGGAUAAUUUUAUACAUUUCUCUAAUGCCUGCGUUUUAAUUGAAGAGUGUAAUUCAUAUACACUUAAAGCAAUUGCUGAUAGAAAGAACAUCUGCUCUUUUGCUAUUUGUUUGCUGUAUAUUUAUCCAUUUCUUUUCUUUUUGUGCCUUCUUACCUUCCCUGUCUUGUUUUUAGUCCAAUAUUUCAUGUGAGCUGUUUUGAGUCUAUUCUCAUUUUUUGGUGUAUAUAAUGUGUGUGUGUGUGUGUGUGUGUGUGUGUGUGUGUGUGAUAAUAAUGGGUAUUACAAUUAUAAUUUAAAUUAAUAAAAAAUCUAGUUUGAAUUUAUACUUCUAUAGCAUAUAAAAAACUUUGCUCCUAUAUAGCUAUUCCCCCUUUAUAUUGUUGUCAAAAAUUAUAUUUUUAUACAUUGUAUGUUAAAUAGUGUAAACCUAUAGACUGUUAUGCAUUCGUCUUUUAAAUACUGUAGAAAAUAUAGAGUUGCACAUAUAAAAUACAAUAAUACUGGUUUUUAUAUUUGCCCAUAUAGUUAUCUUUACUAGAGAUCUUUAUUUCUUUACAUGGCUUCAAAUUACCAUUUAGUAUCUUUAUAUUUUCACCUGAAGGAUUUUAUUUUUGCGUGUAUGUCCCCCGCCCACCUGCCAGAGAGAUUCACCUGUGGCCCCCUGCUAUUCCUUUGGAGCACUUUCACUUGUGGCCCACCCCCUGCUCUACCAGAGUUCAUUUGCCAGUGGCCCCUGACAGUGCUAUUGUCAGCAGAACCUUGGUUCCCCCAGUGCAGGUAGUGUUUGACCUUGAGGGGCCAGAGAAGAAAACCAUGGCCUGGUACCAGCCCCUCAGAGUUAGAGCAUGCAGCCCAGGAGUACUGAGCUCAGUCUUAGCCCUCUGAAAACAUCCAGAAAUAAAGCCAAUCAACUAAACCCAAUUUACACCACAGUCAAACCCUCAAGGGCAUUACAGAGAAUAAAAGCUAAAAGCAUCAUCAAGAGGAUAGGAACUUCAAAGAUUAAAGAAACAUCAGCCUACACAAAUGAAAAAGAACAAGUGUAAGAAUUCUGGCAACUCAAAAAGCCAGAGGGCCCCUUUACCUCCAUAUGAGCCCACUAGCUCUCCAGCAAUGGUUCGAAGUGAAAUGACCAAAAUGACAACACAGAAUUCUGAUUGUGAAUGGCAAAAAAGCACAUUGAGAUUCAGGAGAAAGAUGAAACCCAAUCCAAGGAAUUCAAGAAAUCCAAUAAAACAAUACAAGAGCUGAAAGACAACUAGCCAUUUUAAGAAAGAAUCAAACUGAACUUCUGGAAUUGAAAAGUCCACUACAAUAAUUUUAUAAUUUAGUCAGAAGCAUUAACAGCAAAAUUGACCAAGCUGAGGAAAGAAUCUCAGAGCUUGAAGACUGAUUCUUUGAAUCAACUCAGACAAAAAUAAAGAAGGAUUUUUAAAAAUGAACAAAACCUCCAAGAAAUAAGGGAUUAUGUAAAGAGACCAAGUUUGUGACUCAUUGUUUUUCCUGAGAGAGGAGAGAAAGCAAACAACCUGGAAAACGUAUUUGAGGACACAGUCCAAGAAAAUUUCCCCAAUUUCACUAUAGAGGUUGACAUGCAAAUUCCAGAAAUACAGAGAACUCCUGUGAGAUAAUAUCCAAGAUGGUCAUCCCCAAGGCACAUAGUCAUCAGAUUCACCAAGAUCAGUGCAGAAGGAAAAAUGUUGAAGACAGCUAGGGAGAAGGGUCAGGUAAUAUACUAAGGAAUCCCCAUCAAGCUAGCCGCAGACCUCUCAGCAGAAACCUUACAAGCCAGAAGAGACUGGGGCCUGUUUUCAGCUUUAUUAAAAAAGAAUUUUCAACCAAAAAUUUUAUAUUCUACCAAAUAAGCUUCAUAUGUAAAGGAGAAAGUAAAAUUAUUCUCAGGCUAGCAAAUGCUAAGGGAAUUUGUUACAACUAGACCAGCUUGACAAAAUGUUCUUAAAGCAGUGCUAAACAUGGAAAUAAAAGAAUGACAAUUGCUACCACAAAAACACACGUAAGCGCAUAGUCCACAGACAUUAUAAAGCCACUGUAUGAUAAAGUCUACAAAACAUUCAGCUAACAAUACGAUGACAAGAUUAAAAUCCCACAUGUUAAUGCUUACCCUAAAUGUAAAUUAUCCAAAUACCCCAUUGAAGAGGUAUAGAGUGGCAAGCUGGAUUAAAAAAAAAAAAAAGAGGUCUAACUGUGUGCUGUCUUCAAGAGACCAAUGUCACAUGUAAUAACACCUACAGGCUCAAAGUAAAGGGUUGAAGAAAAAUCUACCAUGCAAGUGGAAAACAAAAAAGAGCAAGAGUCACUAUUCUUAUAUCAGAUAAAACAGACUUUGGUAUUUCUUACAGAAUAGUUCUAGUGGUAAUAAAUUCUCUCAACUUUUGUUUAUGUGAAAAUGUCUUAAUUUUGUCAUCAUUUUUGAAGAACAGUUUUACCAGGUGUAGAAUUGUUUGUUGACUUUCUUUGUCCUUUCAGUACUUUAAAUAUGUCACUCAAUCAUUUUCUGCCCUCCAUAGUUUUAGAUAAGAAAUCAAUUAUUAAUCAUAUUGAGAAUCAUUUAUACAUAAUGAGUUGCUUUUUGUUUACUUCUUUCAAGAUUUUCCCUUUGUGUUUUGGUAAUUUGAUUGUAGUGUGUCUUGAGGUGAAGCUCUUUAAGUUUGUUCUAAAUGGAACUUGUUGUUCUUCUUGAAUAUAUAAAUUCAUGUAUUUCACCAAAUUUUGGAAGUACAUGCCUAUGACUUAUGGAAACAUUCUUUUGUCUAUUUUCUCCUUCUGAGACUCUUAUAAUGUAUAUGUUGGUCCACUGGAUGGUAUUCCAUGGGUCCCUUAGUCUCUGUUUACUUAAUUAAUUUUUCUUUCUGCUUUUCAGACUGGAUAAUUUCAAUUUCCCUGUCUUCAUGUUUGCUGAUUCUUUCUUCUGCCUAUUUAAAUCUACUGCUGACCCCUCUCAAAUGAAUUUUUCUAUUUCCGUUUUUAACUUUUCAUUUCCAGAUUGUGUGUAGUUCCUUUUCAUAAUUUCUGUCUCUUUAUUGGCAUUUUUGUUUUGUUCCUUUCUCAUUUUUCUGAUUUUCUUUAUUUGCCCCUAUUUUUCUUUACCUCUUUGAAACUAUUUAGGACAGUUAUUAUAGAGUCUUUUCUAGUUAUUCCAAUGCCUGGGCUUACUCAGGUAUGGUUUUUGUCCAUUUAUUUUGUUGCUUUGAAUGGACCACACUUUUCUAUUUCUUUGCAUAACUUGUGAUUUUAAGUUUUGAAAUUGGACACAUUUGAAUAUUAUAAUGUAAUUUUCUAAAUAAGAUUCUCCACUUCCUCCAGGAUUUACUUUUUUUAGUUGUUGAAGGUUGUAGUAGUACAUUUACUUAGUGCCUUUUUCAAGCUAGUUUUGCAUUGACCAUCCCUUUAGCUCAUAUUCAAGAAGUAUUUUGAUAGGGAUUUCUUUGAAUUCCAGGAGUUAAAAAACAAACCAAGAAAAAAACUCUUUCAUUCUGCUGUUUGGAUCUGUGCUGGGCUUUCUUUCACAGCAUAGCCAGUUUUGCUCUAAGCCUAGGGCUCAGCCUGAGGGGAAUAUUUUAUGUCUUCGAAAGGCUUUUCUGAGCAUGUGUCUUUCCCUGGUGUGUGUAUGACUUUCUAAAUUAUCCCAUAUAUAUAAGUGAUUUUCAGUGCUUUUCAAAAUACCACUCCAUAGCAUUUCCUAAUGGACUUUUAGAUACUUUACGUUCUGUCUCACCGUAAUUUUUUGUCCCAGGUAUCUGUAGGUUGUUUGUUUGCUUUACAGUGUUUUCAAGCAACUCCCUUCACUUUUCCAACCUCAGUGGGUUUCAAGCUCAGAAAGACAGAGGUGGGAACCUUGUGUCAUCCCCAGACAGGUUAGAAUAGACAUACAUAACAAUUUGCAAAUAGGACCUGCUUUGUUCUGUCCAGAAGCAGGGACCAUCACCCCACACUGAGAAUGCUGCCUGCCUUCUUUUAUAGUGUCACCAGGCUGGGGAGAUGUUGAGGCAAGGACAAGUAAAAAAUGGCAGAAAAUUUUUCUAUCAUCUUUAAGUUAUCUUUUUCCUGAUUGAGCAAUCAUCUCUGUGUUGCAAAUCUUUUACUGUUUUCCAGAGUUCUUAUAAGGUGUUUUGUUUUGUUUUGUUUUGUUUUUCUGAGAGGUUGUGCGUGUGUUUCAAUGUUUCUUUUGAGGAACAGAAGCUUGGAACUGCCUGCUCUAUCAAUUCAUUGAUGUCAGUCCAGUAAAUAUUUUACUCUAUAUUUAUUAUUCAUUCUAUACAAAGAAAAAUAGAUGUGUGUGUGUGAAGAUGUGAUGAAGUGUCAGUAUAUAAGCCAGCAAGGGAAAUGAUAGUUCUUAAAGAAGAGGAGGAAUGAGGACAGUUCUCCAUUAAGAAUGACUCUCCAAUAAGAAUGAAUGCUCAAGUAUAGGUUGGCUGGUUAAAUGGUGCAUAGGUAGAUACAUUUCAAAUUUUUUUGCUAAGGCUUUGUUAAAACACUGCUAAUGCCUUAAAAGGAAUACUUUGGAUAAUUUCACUUAAUUAAUUAGUUAAGCAUGUAAACACUGAGAUAAAUUCCUGUAUUAUUAAAUAUGCUUGAAUAAUGUGAUGUGAGUGGUGGCAGGGAGUUUUCUUCUAUGAGUAUACAAUAAUUUAGUUAACUAAUUAGACUUUUAGGCUGCUAUUAAUUUUUUGCUAUUAUAAGUAGUACAGCAAUGAGUGCCACAGUACCCAAGUUCAUCUUGAAUCUUGUAUUUAGGUAUUUGCUACCUUUUCAGACUUAGAAUAUAGAUCUUCCCACUUAAGGUCCUUGGAAUUACCAAGGAAGUAAUCAGUUUACAUAAAGCCCAUGUAAUACAUAAUAGAAAUAUUUAGAAUACAUAAUAUUCUAAAGUGUAUUUUACUCCGGG